GUUAAAAAGCUCGUAGUUGGAUUUCUGUGAGAGUAUGAUGUCCUAACGUGUUUAGAGCGCAGAAAACUCUUGCAUCCUUCUGUUACCUCCACGUGGCAUUCGCUUGCCAGUGGUUGGCUCAGAGAAUUUACCUUGAGAAAAUUAGAGUGUUUCAGGCAGGCUUAGUCGGAAUACAUUAGCAUGGAAUAAUAGAAUAGGACUCCGGUCUCGUUGUUGGUUUGAGGGACUGUAGUAAUGAUUAAUAGGGAUAGUUGGGGGCAUUAGUAUUCGGUUGUCAGAGGUGAAAUUCUCAGAUUUAUUGAAGACUAACUUAUGCGAAAGCAUUUGCCAAGGAUGUUUUCAUUAAUCAAGAACGAAAGUUAGGGGAUCAAAGACGAUCAGAUACCGCCCUAGUCUUAACCAUAAACUAUGCCGACUCGGGAUUGGGGGCGUGUUAUUAUCCGCCUUCAGCACCGUAUGAGAAAUCAAAGUCUUUGGGUUCUGGGGGGA
Molecule: ribosomal RNA, 489 nt
Filed under: uncultured marine eukaryote
Lineage: Eukaryota
Description: SSU rRNA
Rfam family: Eukaryotic small subunit ribosomal RNA
Source: RNAcentral